UACAUGAAGCUGGAAUCGCUAGUAAUCGCGAAUCAGCAUGUCGCGGUGAAUACGUUCCCGGGUCUUGUACACACCGCCCGUCACACCAUGGGAGUUGGAAAUGCCCGAAGUCAGUGACCCAACCGAAAGGAGGGAGCUGCCGAAGGCAGGUUCGAUAACUGGGGUGAAGUCGUAACAAGGUACC
This 184-nucleotide ribosomal RNA is filed under the name uncultured bacterium. RNAcentral's name for it is "partial 16S ribosomal RNA". It matches the Rfam family "Bacterial small subunit ribosomal RNA", at positions 1317 to 1500 of the family's 1533-position model. The record is from RNAcentral.